AACGCGAAGAACCUUACCUGGGCUCGAAAUGCAGGAGACCGGGGUAGAAAUAUCCUUUCCCCGCAAGGGGCUGCUGUAUAGGUGCUGCAUGGCUGUCGUCAGCUCGUGUCGUGAGAUGUUGGGUUAAGUCCCGCAACGAGCGCAACCCUCAUCCCUAGUUGCCACCGGGUCAAGCCGAGCACUCUAGUGAAACCGCCCCGGAUAACGGGGAGGAAGGUGGGGAUGACGUCAAGUCCUCAUGGCCUUUAUGUCCAGGGCUACACACGUGCUACAAUGGUCGGUACAAACCGUCGCAAAGCCGCAAGGUGGAGCUAAUCGGAAAAAGCCGGCCUCAGUUCGGAUUGGAGUCUGCAACUCGACUCCAUGAAGCUGGAAUCGCUAGUAAUCGCAGAUCAGAACGCUGCGGUGAAUACGUUCCCGGGCCUUGUA
Molecule: ribosomal RNA, 429 nt
Filed under: uncultured Acidobacterium sp.
Lineage: Bacteria; Pseudomonadati; Acidobacteriota; Terriglobia; Terriglobales; Acidobacteriaceae
Description: bacterial SSU rRNA
Rfam family: Bacterial small subunit ribosomal RNA
Source: RNAcentral